Long non-coding RNA from Dreissena polymorpha, 1291 nucleotides. RefSeq lists it as uncharacterized. The record is from RefSeq and is a predicted model, not a curated record. NCBI's taxonomy places the organism in Eukaryota, Metazoa, Mollusca, Bivalvia, Myida, Dreissenidae. The transcript is spliced from 2 exons.
UUGUUAAAUUAUCGGAAACUGGUAACGCUAGGAUAGUGUUUUUCUUUCACUGUCUAAGCCAUGCAUUACAUUUAAAUUUAAAGGUGGUAAAUCACAUUUGAGUAUCAUUUCAACAUGACCAAACUUUAUUAUCUGAUAUUGUAGAUAUCCAAGGUGCCUGAACCACGUGACUUUUUCGGCUAUGUGUGGGACAAUCGGAUGUAAACAAAACGUCGCUUCAGUGUGGCAGAGAGGUCAAAACACGGUCGGGGAUCUCCUAACACAAAGCCACCCACGCACGGACAGGAAAAAAGUUCCGUCGGGCAAACUUUUUCUUGUUUGUUUCUAUAAAAUUGAUUGUUACAAAAUGUUGAAUUUUCAGUGAAUUGUUACUGCCGACUAAUGCACUUGUUUAAUACACAAAAUCGUAAGGAUUAUUUGUGCAAGAUGUCAUGUGAAUAUUAUUGCAACAAAACUACAAAAAGUGUUAGUUGUGUGUUUUUUAGCAGGAAUGUGUAGGCAUUUUUUACUGUAACCAAUUUAAUAAAUAAGCAUAAAGAGAUCAUACAGCAUUUUUAAACAAAUAGACACUAGGAUCAAUGACAUUUUUUUCUGGAAAAUCAUGUAUUUGUAUGUAAAUCCUAUUGAGCUAUCUGAUAUAUCACACAUGCUAUUUUUUAAGUUUAACAGUUUAUAUCAGUUGUAUUUUGUUCUUUUCAGGGAGAUUAAAGUAUUUUUGGAAGCACCUUCAAGAGACGUACUGAUAUCUUUAUCAAUGAAAAGUUGUCAUACAAACAUGUAUAGUAAAUGUUCCAAAGUUUAAAUGACUCUUUGAUUUAUUACCAGAUGGUGCAAGUAUUGCAGGGAAAGAAAACAAUCAAAAUAAACAUUACAUAAAAAUUUGACAUUUCAACAAAUUGAACAACAUUAUAUGAUUUAAUGUUAAUUACUUGGUGCAGUGGUAACAAGAUCUUGCAGCGCCCUUUCAUGACCGGGGCGAAUGAGUAUUUUCAUUAAACAUCUCAAACUAUUGUCAGUUAUUCAACUUUCAUUUGAAUUUGAGUAAAUUAAGUAUUGAUGCAAUUCAAUAUGUUUGUUGGUAUAAUGACCCCCACAAGUCAAGACGUUUUGGCGAUGAUCAUUUGUUAUGACUUAAUUGAAGCAUUCAUAUGUUUGAAUAGCAAGAUUUGCAAAUUCAUAAAUUGACUGAUUACAAUUUCUUUGUGAAUACUAAUGUACUUCUUUAUGUAUUUGGCGCUUUAAUUUCUAUUGUUACAUGUGCAUGCUAGUUAUAAAGUAAUGGUAUUAUUAA